GGGUUGUGAGGUUAAGCGACUAAGCGUACACGGUGGAUGCCCUGGCAGUCAGAGGCGAUGAAGGACGUGCUAAUCUGCGAUAAGCGUCGGUGAGGUGAUAUGAACCGUUAUAACCGGCGAUUUCCGAAUGGGGAAACCCAGUGUGUUUCGACACACUAUCAUUAACUGAAUCCAUAGGUUAAUGAGGCGAACCGGGGGAACUGAAACAUCUAAGUACCCCGAGGAAAAGAAAUCAACCGAGAUUCCCCCAGUAGCGGCGAGCGAACGGGGAGGAGCCCAGAGCCUGAAUCAGUGUGUGUGUUAGUGGAAGCGUCUGGAAAGGCGCGCGAUACAGGGUGACAGCCCCGUACACAAAAAUGCACAUAUUGUGAGCUCGAUGAGUAGGGCGGGACACGUGGUAUCCUGUCUGAAUAUGGGGGGACCAUCCUCCAAGGCUAAAUACUCCUGACUGACCGAUAGUGAACCAGUACCGUGAGGGAAAGGCG
Molecule: ribosomal RNA, 485 nt
Filed under: Escherichia coli
Lineage: Bacteria; Pseudomonadati; Pseudomonadota; Gammaproteobacteria; Enterobacterales; Enterobacteriaceae
Description: partial 23S ribosomal RNA
Rfam family: Bacterial large subunit ribosomal RNA
Source: RNAcentral